This 579-nucleotide ribosomal RNA is filed under the name uncultured bacterium. Its description in RNAcentral is "bacterial SSU rRNA". It matches the Rfam family "Bacterial small subunit ribosomal RNA", at positions 202 to 775 of the family's 1533-position model. The record is from RNAcentral.
GGCUCCGGCUAUCACUACGGGAGGGCCCGCGGCGCAUUAGCUAGUUGGUAAGGUAAUGGCUUACCAAGGCGACGAUGCGUAGCCGACCUGAGAGGGUGAUCGGCCACACUGGGACUGAAACACGGCCCAGACUCCUACGGGAGGCAGCAGUAGGGAAUCUUCCGCAAUGGACGAAAGUCUGACGGAGCAACGCCGCGUGAGUGAUGAAGGAUUUCGGUUCGUAAAGCUCUGUUGUUAGGGGAGAACAAGUGCCGUUCAAAUAGGGCGGCACCUUGACGGUACCUAACCAGAAAGCCACGGCUAACUACGUGCCAGCAGCCGCGGUAAUACGUAGGUGGCAAGCGUUGUCCGGAAUUAUUGGGCGUAAAGCGCGCGCAGGCGGUCUUUUAAGUCUGAUGUGAAAGCCCACGGCUCAACCGUGGAGGGUCAUUGGAAACUGGGAGACUUGAGUACAGAAGAGGAGAGUGGAAUUCCACGUGUAGCGGUGAAAUGCGUAGAUAUGUGGAGGAACACCAGUGGCGAAGGCGACUCUCUGGUCUGUAACUGACGCUGAGGCGCGAAAGCGUGGGGAGCAAACAG